This 253-nucleotide ribosomal RNA is filed under the name uncultured bacterium. RNAcentral describes it as "partial 16S ribosomal RNA". It matches the Rfam family "Bacterial small subunit ribosomal RNA", at positions 524 to 776 of the family's 1533-position model. The record is from RNAcentral.
UACGUACCGGACAAACGUUAUUCGGAAUUACUGGGCUUAAAGAGUGCGUAGGCGGCUUUGAAGGUGGGGUGUGAAAGCCCACGGCUCAACCGUGGAAUUGCGCUCCAAACCGCAAGGCUUGAGGAAGACAGAGGUGAGCGGAACUGAUGGUGGAGCGGUGAAAUGCGUUGAUAUCAUCAGGAACACCCGUGGCGAAGGCGGCUCACUGGGUCUUUUCUGACGCUGAGGCACGAAAGCUAGGGGAGCGAACGGG